AACGAACGCUGGCGGCGCGCCUAACACAUGCAAGUCGAACGAGAAGCUGUAGCAAUACAGUUGUACAGUGGCGAACGGGUGAGGAAUACAUGGGUGACCUACCCUCGAGUGGGGAAUAACCAGCCGAAAGGUUGGCUAAUACCGCGUACGUUUCCCAGUCUGCGGAUUGGGAAGGAAAGCGAUGCCGUGGGUAUCGCGCUCAAGGUUGGGCUCAUGUCCUAUCAGCNGUUGGUGAGGUAACGGCUCACCAAGGCAACGACGGGUAGCUGGUCUGAGAGGACGAUCAGCCACACUGGCACUGCGACACGGGCCAGACUCCUACGGGAGGCAGCAGUGAGGAAUAUUGCGCAAUGGGCGAAAGCCUGACGCAGCGACGCCGCGUGGGGAUGAAGGUCUUCGGAUUGUAACCCCUUUCGGGAGGGAAGAUGGGACGAGCAAUCGUUCGGACGGUACCUCCAGAGCAGCCACGGCUAACUUCGUGCCA
This 484-nucleotide ribosomal RNA is filed under the name uncultured bacterium. RNAcentral describes it as "bacterial SSU rRNA". It matches the Rfam family "Bacterial small subunit ribosomal RNA", at positions 29 to 510 of the family's 1533-position model. The record is from RNAcentral.